UGUGUAAUGCUUCUAGAUCAUGUUUUACUGCUAUCUUUCAAGUUAGUAAUGUUACAUUAUUUUUCUGACCUUAUUUGAAUUGUUCUUAAACUUGACAUUCAAGACCGCUAAUCAAACUCACUUUUGAAAGUCAUCAUCUCUUUUAUCCGAACUUGAAACUAAAGGCAAACUACAAAUUACUUAAGCAAAGUUGAUAGUGUGAUGUCAUUUAUUUAUGUUUAAUAAUUCA
Molecule: unclassified non-coding RNA, 229 nt
Filed under: Hevea brasiliensis (rubber tree)
Lineage: Eukaryota; Viridiplantae; Streptophyta; Magnoliopsida; Malpighiales; Euphorbiaceae
Source: RNAcentral